AACUGGUGAGGGGUCUGGAGCACAAGUCUUAUGAAGAGUGGCUGAGGGAGCUGGGAUUGUUCAGCCUGGAGAAGAGGAGGCUCAGGGGAGACCUCACUGCACUGUACAACUUCCUGAAGGGAGGUUGUGGUGCAAAAGGGUCUGGCCUCUUCUCCUAGGCAAAUAGUAGGACCUGAGGAAACGGCCAGAAGUUAUACCAGAGGAGGUUUAGGUUGGAUAUUAGGAGAAACUUUUUCUCUCAAAGGGUGGUCAGGCACUGGAAUGGCUGCCCAGGGAGGUGGUGGAGUUGCCAUCCCUGGUAGUGUUCAAGAGGCGCCUGGAUGAGGAGCUACGAGAUGUGGUUUAGUGCUUGUGGUACUAUAGGAAUGGGAAGGUGGUUGGACUAGAUGAUCUUGCAGGUCGUUUCCAACCUUGUGAUUCUGUGAUUCUGUGAUUCUGUGAUUCUGUACAGUAGCUUCCUCCACUGCAAAUCCUACAGGGCUCUAUCAGAAAUCUAUCUGCCGUACUUGUUCAACAAAAAGAAAAGAACAAAGGAGAUAUGUCUUAGACUAGGAUUUCAGUACAAUUUACAGUACAUUUACUGCCUAUUGUUACCUGGCAACACUGAAUUUCUAAUAUUCUGUUAUCAUUCUUCUUUCCACUACAAAAUGCUCGCAUUUCUUAUUAUCAUGGUCCCUAGGCAUCAGGAUGUGCAGUAAGAGGAGGAGAAUUCAUAAAAUUUAUAUCACAGUGCAACUGUUACUGGUAUAUCAAAAGCCAGCUACAGUAUUCACCAUAGAAUGUAUGCGUAUUUUGAUAUUUAUAAGUAGUAAAUGCUCCACUUCAAAGCAAAGUUUUGCAGCCUCUAAGACAUUUGCAUCUCUAGAACAAUUGCAAUCCGUGCAUUUUCUGACAAUAUAUUACAUAUCAGCUUUCAAACCUUUGUUCUUAGAAUCCCAUAUCUGUAUGAAGUAAGUGGUGAAAUGAAGAAUUUUAUGUAAACCACAUUUCCCUUAAAAAAAAACAAAAAGAGCUGAAGUAAUAGCUACACUUUCCUUUUGAUCUACCAGUCUCUCAAUAUGCUCAUAAGAAAUCCAAAUAUACAUUUACCUAAAUUGCUGAAAAAACAUGUUGGUUUGCUCUGUCUUUUUUGUGCAAAACUUUGUUUGCACCUAUACACUCUCCAUGCUGGUUCCAAGCUGUCAGGAUAUGGAGCUAAUUACUGCUCAAAUUCUUACACACAAUGUCUGAACUUUGCUCACAUCCAUGCUGGAUGCAACUGUAACAUGCACAAGGCUGUGUAGAGGAUACACAGGCAUAAUGAUUUGCUGGCAGUUAACCAGAGACUUGGGGAGAGGCAAAAGGUGAAAAGCUGCCCUGGGAGAGAAGACCCUGGGGGUUAGAAGUAUGAGGCUUGCCAACAUGAGCCAAUAGGCAUGUAAGCCACUAAGAAGACUAAAGAUGUGUCACCAAAUUAUAAACAUGCUGAUUGGCUGAUAGGGUUAAAGCAGAACCAUAGCAAGGGAAAUUGCAAAACACUUGUGCAAUUCCUAAGGCUCAUCUUUUUUUGAGACACUCCCGAUCUGUUCCUCUGCAUUCUCCAAUAUGAGCAUAAUAUAUGGCUUCCACAGAGAGUGAGCAGUAGUUUUCAAAACCUUUUUUUGAAAUCUCAAUAAGGGGGAUAAGAGAUGCAGGUUUCUAGCCAAAGUACUGUAUAGGGGAAAAGCUAAGGAAAGGGUGUUUAAAACAUUGUUUGACAACAGCACCAGGUGUGGAAAACAAAAGAAAAAAGGAAGAUGAAACUAGA
Molecule: long non-coding RNA, 1786 nt
Organism: Tympanuchus pallidicinctus (lesser prairie-chicken)
Lineage: Eukaryota; Metazoa; Chordata; Aves; Galliformes; Phasianidae
Exons: 2
Source: RefSeq, a predicted model, not a curated record